AAGCCAUGAUUCGGAAAACGCAUCAAGUACUGCUUAAACCUCUCCCAAGCUUCAUACAGUUGUUCCCCUGGAAGUUGCUUAAACUCAAAUUUUUUAUCUUUGAGUUC
This is a small nucleolar RNA of Lycium barbarum (goji berry), 107 nucleotides long. Lineage: Eukaryota; Viridiplantae; Streptophyta; Magnoliopsida; Solanales; Solanaceae. The record is from RefSeq and is a predicted model, not a curated record.